Molecule: non-coding RNA, 594 nt
Filed under: Trichomonas vaginalis G3
Lineage: Eukaryota; Parabasalia; Trichomonadida; Trichomonadidae
Description: Eukaryotic small subunit ribosomal RNA
Rfam family: Eukaryotic small subunit ribosomal RNA
Source: Rfam by way of RNAcentral
CUUAAUUUGAAAUCAACACGGGGAAACUUACCAGGACCAGAUGUUUUUUAUGACUGACAGGCUUCGGGUCUUUCAGGAUAUUGUUUUUGGUGGUGCAUGGCCGUUGGUGGUGCGUGGGUUGACCUGUCUAGCGUUGAUUCAGCUAACGAGCGAGAUUAUCGCCAAUUAUUUACUUUGCCGAAGUCCUUCGGUUAAAGUUCUAAUUGGGACUCCCUGCGAUUUUAGCAGGUGGAAGAGGGUAGCAAUAACAGGUCCGUGAUGCCCUUUAGAUGCUCUGGGCUGCACGCGUGCUACAAUGUUAGGAUCAAUAGGACUGCGAGCCUGAGAGGGUGCGCUACUCUUAUAAUCCCUAACGUAGUUGGGAUUGACGUUUGUAAUCAGCGUCAUGAACCAGGAAUCCCUUGUAAAUGUGUGUCAACAACGCACGUUGAAUACGUCCCUGCCCUUUGUACACACCGCCCGUCGCUCCUACCGAUUGGAUGACUCGGUGAAAUCACCGGAUGCUUACGAGCAGAAAGUGAUUAAAUCACGUUAUCUAGAGGAAGGAGAAGUCGUAACAAGGUAACGGUAGGUGAACCUGCCGUUGGAUCAGUU